Molecule: non-coding RNA, 1044 nt
Filed under: Marinactinospora thermotolerans DSM 45154
Lineage: Bacteria; Bacillati; Actinomycetota; Actinomycetes; Streptosporangiales; Nocardiopsidaceae
Description: Bacterial large subunit ribosomal RNA
Rfam family: Bacterial large subunit ribosomal RNA
Source: Rfam by way of RNAcentral
AAAUCCGUCCCUUGUUGUGGCUGAGGCGUGAUGUCGAGUCGUUUGAGACGAAGUGAGUGAUCCCAUGCUGUCGAGAAAAGCCUCUAGUGAGUGCGUGGGCGGCCCGUACCCUAAACCGACGCAGGUGGUCAGGUAGAGAAUACCGAGGCGUUCGGGUGAACCAUGGUUAAGGAACUCGGCAAAUUGUCCCCGUAACUUUGGGAGAAGGGGAGCCCUGUCUGGUGAAGAGGCGUUUGCUCUUGGAGCUGGGUGGGGUCGCAGAUACCGGGGGGAAGCGACUGUUUAUUAAAAACACAGGUCCGUGCGAAGUCGUAAGACGCUGUAUACGGACUGACGCCUGCCCGGUGCCGGAACGUUAAGAGGACUGGUUAGAUGGCCUUUGGGUUGUCGAAGCUGGGAAUCUAAGCGCCGGUAAACGGCGGUGGUAACUAUAACCAUCCUAAGGUAGCGAAAUUCCUUGUCGGGUAAGUUCCGACCUGCACGAAUGGCGUAACGACUUCCCCGCUGUCUCAACCAUGGGCCCGGUGAAAUUGCACUACGAGUAAAGAUGCUCGUUUCGCGCAGCAGGACGGAAAGACCCCGGGACCUUCACUAUAGCUUGACAUUGGUGUUUGGGAUGGUUUGUGUAGGAUAGGUGGGAGCCUGUGAAGCUUGGACGCUAGUUCGGGUGGAGGCGUUGGUGAAAUACCACUCUGGCUGUUUCGGGCAUCUAACCUGGGACCGUGAUCCGGUUCGGGGACAGUGUCUGGUGGGUAGUUUAACUGGGGCGGUUGCCUCCUAAAGGGUAACGGAGGCGCCCAAAGGUUCCCUCAGCCUGGUUGGCAAUCAGGUGUUGAGUGUAAGUGCACAAGGGAGCUUGACUGUGAGACGGACGUGUCGAGCAGGUGCGAAAGCAGGGACUAGUGAUCCGGCAUCGGCGUGUGGAAGCGGUGUCGCUCAACGGCUAAAAGGUACCCCGGGGAUAACAGGCUGAUCUUCCCCAAGAGUCCAUAUCGACGGGAUGGUUUGGCACCUCGAUGUCGGCUCGUCGCAUCCUGGGGCUGG